CAGUGGCGAACAACCACUCUUUUCUGGAAUUGUAUCGACUGAAGAAACGAAUCCUCAAGAGGCGGCGAUCUUCAUAAGUCCUGCAGUACUGCCAUACUUGAACGAGUUGUUGAAAUUGGGAUGGACGGUACUUUUCGGUCGAAAACUAAAAAUCCUUUUGGUGUCCACCAAGUCAUCGUGUUAACUAUUUUCUUCGAAGGUCACGCGUUUGUGUUACCCACCGUUCUGUGUUCAGGCAAGACGGAAGCGCUGUACAAACUUAUACCACGACACAUUAAAAUGAAGGCCGCUGAACUUCCAGGGGCUCGUGCCAUGGUACCAAAAAAAUGCACUGCGAUUUCAAAAAAGCCACGAUGAACGCUCUUGCUGAAGUCACCAUCGGAAUUAUUUGUGGAUGCUACUAUCAUUAUUGCCAGACUCUUCAUAGACGGGUGACUGACGUAUGCUUGUUGGGACGGGAGUACCAUAGUGUUCCACUGGUAAAAAAAAUUGUCAAGCUGUUGGGUUCCCUGCCAUAUCUACAUCCAACUACGUUGAAUCAAAGCUUUGGAGGUAAUUACAUUGACUACGUGACAACAAUUUGAAUUAAAAUGGCACUAAGACAACUACGGAUUAGUAGCCAUGCGGUAGUUUGCCAAAAUGUAGGCUGAUUGAUAUUUUCUUCUAUUACAUAUUAUUGACGCAUAUUUUGAGGGACAAAAAGGUUUAGUGAGUCCACGUAUUCAAGAACAGCUUAGAUUAUUGUUAAUCUAUUAUCGAACAACCUGGAUUGAAAUUUAUGGCCCCAACGUGUUUUGCAUUGAAAGGAAAGGACAUAUCUACGAAUAACAAUAUGGAGUCCAUCAAUC
Molecule: long non-coding RNA, 848 nt
Organism: Daphnia pulicaria
Lineage: Eukaryota; Metazoa; Arthropoda; Branchiopoda; Diplostraca; Daphniidae
Exons: 3
Source: RefSeq, a predicted model, not a curated record